CUACGGGGGGCUCCAGUGGGGAAUAUUGGACAAUGGGCGCAAGCCUGAUCCAGCAAUACCGCGUGUGUGAAGAAGGCCUGCGGGUUGUAAAGCACUUUCAAUUGUGAAGAAAAGCGAGGGCUUAAUACGCUCUUGUCUUGACGUUAACUUUAGAAGAAGCACUGGCUAACUCUGUGCCAGCAGCCGCGGUAAUACAGAGGGUGCGAGCGUUAAUCGGAAUUACUGGGCGUAAAGCGUACGUAGGCGGUUUAGUAAGUCAGAUGUGAAAGCCCUGGGCUCAACCUGGGAACUGCAUUUGAAACUGCUAGACUAGAGUGUGGUAGAGGGAAGUGGAAUUCCGGGUGUAGCGGUGAAAUGCGUAGAUAUCCGGAGGAACACCAGUGGCGAAGGCGACUUCCUGGACCAACACUGACGCUGAGGUACGAAAGCGUGGGUAGCAAACAGGAUUAGAUACCCCCGUAGUC
RNAcentral lists this ribosomal RNA (464 nucleotides) under uncultured bacterium. Its description in RNAcentral is "partial 16S ribosomal RNA". It matches the Rfam family "Bacterial small subunit ribosomal RNA", at positions 339 to 795 of the family's 1533-position model. The record is from RNAcentral.